UACGUAGGGGGCAAGCGUUGUCCGGAGUUACUGGGCGUAAAGCGCACGCAGGCGGUCUCUUAAGUUUGGAGUGACAGUUGGUGGCUUAACUGCCAAAGUGCUUCGAAAACUGAGAGACUUGAGGGCUUCAGAGGGACACGGAAUCCGGGUGGAGUGGUGAAAUGCGUAGAGAUCCGGAGGAACACCAAAGGCGAAGGCAGUGUCCUGGGGAGUACCUGACGCUCAGGUGCGAAAGCCAGGGGAGCGAACGGG
RNAcentral lists this ribosomal RNA (252 nucleotides) under uncultured bacterium. Its description in RNAcentral is "partial 16S ribosomal RNA". It matches the Rfam family "Bacterial small subunit ribosomal RNA", at positions 524 to 776 of the family's 1533-position model. The record is from RNAcentral.